Geobacteraceae bacterium GWC2_58_44 is the source of this 91-nucleotide non-coding RNA. NCBI's taxonomy places the organism in Bacteria, Pseudomonadati, Thermodesulfobacteriota, Desulfuromonadia, Geobacterales, Geobacteraceae. The record is from Rfam.
AGUAUAAUGAUUUCAUAGAUAAGAGUUGCGGAGGGUCGCAGGAUCCUCCUUCCCCUAGCCGACUUGCCCUCCUAGUCGCUAGGGUUUUUUU